Molecule: ribosomal RNA, 504 nt
Filed under: uncultured bacterium
Lineage: Bacteria
Description: partial 16S ribosomal RNA
Rfam family: Bacterial small subunit ribosomal RNA
Source: RNAcentral
AUUGAACGCUGGCGGCAUGCCUUACACAUGCAAGUCGAACGGCAGCAUGGAGAGCUUGCUCUCUGAUGGCGAGUGGCGAACGGGUGAGUAAUGCAUCGGAACGUACCGUGUAAUGGGGGAUAACGUAGCGAAAGUUACGCUAAUACCGCAUACGACCUGAGGGUGAAAGCAGGGGAUCGCAAGACCUUGCGUUAUACGAGCGGCCGAUGUCAGAUUAGCUAGUUGGUGAGGUAAAGGCUCACCAAGGCGACGAUCUGUAGCGGGUCUGAGAGGAUGAUCCGCCGAACUGGGACUGAGACACGGCCCAGACUCCUACGGGAGGCAGCAGUGGGGAAUUUUGGACAAUGGGGGCAACCCUGAUCCAGCCAUGCCGCGUGAGUGAAGAAGGCCUUCGGGUUGUAAAGCUCUUUCGGCCGGGAAGAAAUCGCACAGGCUAAUACUCUGUGUGGAUGACGGUACCGGCAUAAGAAGCACCGGCUAACUACGUGCCAGCAGCCGCGGUAA